RNAcentral lists this ribosomal RNA (251 nucleotides) under uncultured prokaryote. RNAcentral describes it as "partial 16S ribosomal RNA". It matches the Rfam family "Bacterial small subunit ribosomal RNA", at positions 525 to 775 of the family's 1533-position model. The record is from RNAcentral.
ACAGAGGCGGCAAGCGUUGUUCGGAAUUAUUGGGCGUGAAGAGCAUGUAGGCGGCUAUGUAAGUCGGUUGUGAAAGCCUUCCGCUUAACGGAAGAAUGGCGGUCGAAACUGCAUGGCUUGAGUGCGGGAGGGGAGAGUGGAACUUCUGGUGGAGCGGUGAAAUGCGUAGAUAUCAGAGGGAACACCGGUGGCGAAGGCGACGCAUUGGCCGCAAUCUGACGCUGAGGCGCGAAAGCAUGGGGAGCGAACGG